UUUUCAGCCUAUACCCAGUGAUGGUAAGUCCUGUGCUUUGUGUCUGCUGGACUCGUUGUAGCGGAACUGCAAUGUUAAAUCCCAAUAUCUCCGCUAGUACAGAAAGUAAUUCAAGUAAAGCGCUGAAAAUGAAGGCAAUAUCCCAAAUCCCCCAGUAACCGGACGAAACACAGUUCUGGGAGUCAACUGACGAUUUUAUUCACAAGCUCCAGUAUUUAUGUGAUUCCCCAUGCAAGGGGUUUC
Molecule: non-coding RNA, 243 nt
Organism: Pelobates cultripes (western spadefoot toad)
Lineage: Eukaryota; Metazoa; Chordata; Amphibia; Anura; Pelobatidae
Source: the annotation of a GenBank genome assembly